This 375-nucleotide ribosomal RNA is filed under the name uncultured bacterium. RNAcentral describes it as "bacterial SSU rRNA". It matches the Rfam family "Bacterial small subunit ribosomal RNA", at positions 32 to 418 of the family's 1533-position model. The record is from RNAcentral.
AAUCAACGCUGGCGGCGUGCCUAACACAUGCAAGUCGAACGAGAAAGUGGAGCAAUCCAUGAGUAAAGUGGCGCACGGGUGAGUAACACGUGACUAACCUACCCAGGAGUGGGGGAUAACUGAGGGAAACCUUAGCUAAUACCGCAUAACACCUACGGGUCAAAGGAGCAAUUCGCUUCUGGAGGGGGUCGCGGCCGAUUAGUUAGUUGGCAGGGUAAUGGCCUACCAAGACGAUGAUCGGUAUCCGGCCUGAGAGGGCGCACGGACACACUGGAACUGAAACACGGUCCAGACUCCUACGGGAGGCAGCAGUGGGAAUUUUGCGCAAUGGGGGAAACCCUGACGCAGCAACGCCGCGUGGAGGAUGAAGUCCUU